GGCUUGGAACCGGCGGUCGGCGCCGGAGGGUGGCGGGGAGCGGCGACGGGGUCGGCACCGCGGACCGGAGGUCGGUGCCGGCGGUGAAGUCGGGUCGGCGCCGAAGGACAGCGGUGGCGCCGGGGACCGGGGACCGGUGCGGGAGAGAGGGAGAGAGGGUCGGCGCCGGAGGUCGGCGCCGGAGCCGGAGGUUGGGUCGGGUCGGCGCCGACGGUCGGCGACGGCGACAGGGGCCGGUGACCCAAAGUGUUUGAUAUAUGCCUGUGUCAACUGAAUAAUCAUUCAAUUAUUCAUUGUAUUUCUUUUUCCACAGGUGUUUUUUAAGUUUCUCAUCUAUAAGGUAUAAUAUUCACUUUUAUUGGUCUGUAUUUGUGAUUAUUAUAUGCGUGGUACGAUCAUUAUGAUUCCUUCUCGCUUUGUCAUCUACUCUCAAGAUUUAUAUUAAUCAAUAGAUCUCUGCGCCCUGCCAAUUUGCUAAGUACACUCACCCUACCAAGGGACUACAAAGGCUAGAACUCUCUACCAAAAAUAGGAAUCUACUUCUCAUCCUAGGAGUUAGCAGGUAUGAAAGAGUCCCCUCUCUAUCUAUCUCUCUGAGUUUCUUCUACAAAGUAGCAUUUCUGCUAUUCAAUCAUAGAAUUGAUUCCAAUCCAGAUGAAAAAAGUCAGUCCUAUAUAUGUUUGUUAUUAGUAAAGCCCUAAGUCCCAAUCUACAAUAUGGGUCCUUAAUAUGUACGAUAAGAGCGAAAAUAAUGUGGUACUAGCAACGGAUAAACAGUAUAGCUCAUGCACCAUAUGCAGGAAGUAGAGCUUUGCCUACUUUUUUGAAUUUUAUGACCAACUUUGUUGAGGUAAAAAUAUGAAAAAUAAACACUUUAGUUUAGUAUUUCUAUUUUGAAAAAGAGUCUUGGCGUAACGGGUUCAAACUAUGGAAACACCCUCUUGCAGAAAUGCAGGGUUAGGUUGCGUACAACAGACCUUACGGUCCGGCCCUUCUCACGAUCCCCAACAUAGCGUGAGCUUUAGUGCACUGAGCUUCCUUUUAGUUCAUUUGAUUGAAACUAACUUAAUUUUCUUUUCAAUUGUUUUAUUCUGGAGACACUAUUGAAUUCUCUUUAAAUCCUCAAAGGAAAAAGAGCAAAUAACAAUUCUCAAAGAUGUAAGUGGUAUUCUUAAGCCAUCUAGAAUGACUCUACUUUUGGGACCUCCAAGUUCUGGAAAGACUACUUUGUUAUUAGCAUUGGCUGGAAAACUUGAUCCUGCUUUAAAGGUUACUGGUAACGUGACUUAUAAUGGACAUGAGCUACAUGAAUUGUGCCACAAAGAAUAGUUGUUUAUAUCAGUCAUCAUGACUUGGAUAUUGGAGAAAUGACUUGGAUAUUGGAGAAAUGACUGUAGGGGAAACUUUGGAAUUUUCUGCAAGAUGUCAAGGAGUUGGCUCUAGAUUUGAGAUGUUGACUGGACUAUCAAAAAGAGAGAAAGCUGCUUAUAUCAAACCAGAUCCUCAUAUUGAUAUUUACAUGAAGAUAUUGGGACUUGAUAUUUGUGCUGAUACUAUGGUGGGAGAUGAAAUGAUAAGGGGUAUUUCAGGAGGUCAAAAGAAACGUGUAACAACCGGUGAAAUGCUUGUUGGACCGUCAAAGGGUGGUUGAAUAGAAGUUGCAGCUCUUUCAGUCUUGAUGAGGAUUGGUUGAUGCAAAAGAGAUCAUGUGAUGGAAAUUCCAGCAAAGCAAAGGAUGGAGCGACAACAAACUUUAACUAGAGAGCAUAUUUAGGAUUUGUUUUACGUCGUUCUUGCCUUUUGAAACUUUUUGUACCAACAAAUGUCAUAUCAAUAUACUAUAUUUUUAGAAUCUGUACAAAUAAGUCUUACCAACACAAUGUAUGUAAUCUUUGUUCCACAUAAUAUGAAGCAUAACGCCGUAUCAUGUAA
Molecule: RNA transcript, 1932 nt
Organism: Capsicum annuum
Lineage: Eukaryota; Viridiplantae; Streptophyta; Magnoliopsida; Solanales; Solanaceae
Exons: 5
Source: RefSeq, a predicted model, not a curated record